UAAAUUUGCACUUGAAUUGGUUCUUAUAGAUUAAAAGGGAAUCGGGUGAAAAUCCUGAACAGUUCCCGCUGCUGUAAGCUCCGUAACUCUUUUUAAAUCAAUAGCCACUGUCGAGUAUGGGAAGGCAAAAAAGAGGGAGCAAGUCAGAAGACCUGCNNNNNNNAAAACAAACAU
RNAcentral lists this non-coding RNA (174 nucleotides) under Bacteroidota bacterium. The record is from RNAcentral. Lineage: Bacteria; Pseudomonadati; Bacteroidota.